Molecule: ribosomal RNA, 630 nt
Filed under: uncultured bacterium
Lineage: Bacteria
Description: bacterial SSU rRNA
Rfam family: Bacterial small subunit ribosomal RNA
Source: RNAcentral
UUGGGCGUAAGCGUGCGCAGGCGGUUUGGAAAGUCAUUAUUGAAAUUUCAGGGCUCAACCCUGAACCCGGUGAUGAUACUUUCAGACUAGGUUACUUGAGGGGGUACCGGAACAGUUGGUGGAGCAGUGAAAUGCGUUGAGAUCAACUGGAACACCAAAGGCGAAGGCAGGUACCUGGCAAGUCAAUGACGCUGUUGCACGAAAGCGUGGGGAGCAAAACGGAUUAGAUACCCGUGUAGUCCACGCUGUAAACUAUGGACACUAGAUAUCAGAGUGGUUGACGCUUUGGUGUCGUAAGCUAACGCGUUAAGUGUCCCGCCUGGGGAGUACGGCCGCAAGGCUAAAACUCAAAGGAAUUGACGGGGACCCGCACAAGUAGGGGAACGUGUGGUUUAAUUCGAGACAAAACGAAGAACCUCACCAGGGUUUGAAAUGUUAGUUUUAGGACUCCGAAAGGAGAACAAACCGCAAGGUAGCUAACACAGGUGCUGCAUGGCUGUCGUCAGCUCGUGUCGUGAGAUGUCGCCUUAAGUGGCUCAACGAGCGCAACCCUCAUCACUAGUUGUAUCACUCUAGCGAAACCGCCCCGCCUUUUGCACAUAAGUGCAAAAUUCGAAUUAAAAUUUCGGA